RNAcentral lists this ribosomal RNA (1365 nucleotides) under Bacillus sp. HPCKc-1. RNAcentral's name for it is "partial 16S ribosomal RNA". It matches the Rfam family "Bacterial small subunit ribosomal RNA", at positions 179 to 1475 of the family's 1533-position model. The record is from RNAcentral. Lineage: Bacteria; Bacillati; Bacillota; Bacilli; Caryophanales; Bacillaceae.
CCUUGAACCGCAUGGUUCAAGGAUGAAAGACGGUUUCGGCUGUCACUUACAGAUGGACCCGCGGCGCAUUAGCUAGUUGGUGAGGUAACGGCUCACCAAGGCGACGAUGCGUAGCCGACCUGAGAGGGUGAUCGGCCACACUGGGACUGAGACACGGCCCAGACUCCUACGGGAGGCAGCAGUAGGGAAUCUUCCGCAAUGGACGAAAGUCUGACGGAGCWAUUCGGCCAGCKUGASCUGAUUGARGSUUUUCGGAUCGUAAAGCUCUGGUUGUUAGGGAAGAWCAAGUGGCAAGAGUUAMCUGGCUUGCACCUUGACGGUUACGCUAAYCAGAAAGGCCAYSGCUWACUACGGUGGCCAGCCAGCCGGCGGUAAUACGUUAGGGUGGGCAAAGCGUUGUUCCUGGAAAUUAAUUGGGCGUAAMGGGCUUCGCAGGGCCGGUUUYUCUAAGUUCUGAUGUGAAAGCCUCUCCSGGCUUCAACCCGGGGACGGGUCCAUUGGAAACUGGGGAAAYUUGAGUGCAGAAGAGGGAGAGUGGAAUUUCCACGUGUAGCGGUGAAAUGCGUAGAGAUGUGGAGGAACACCAGUGGCGAARGCGACUCUCUGGUCUGUAACUGACGCUGAGGAGCGAAAGCGUGGGGAGCGAACAGGAUUAGAUACCCUGGUAGUCCACGCCGUAAACGAUGAGUGCUAAGUGUUAAGGGGGUUUCCGCCCCUUAGUGCUGCAGCUAACGCAUUAAGCACUCCGGCCUGGGGAGUACGGUCGCAAGACUGAWACUCAAAGGAAAUUGACAGGGGGCCCGCACAAGCGKKGGAGCAUGGUGRUUWAAUUCGAAGCAACGGCGAAGAACCUUACCARGUCUUGACAUCCUCUGACAACCCUAGRRAUAGGGCYUUCCYUUCGGGGACRGAGUGACAGGUGGUGCAUGGUUGUCGUCAGCUCGUGUCAGWGARAUGUWGGGWUAAGUCCCGCAACGAGCKAACAACCCUUGAUCUUAGUUGCCAGCAUUCAGUUGGKACACUCUUAAAGUGUGAACUGCCGGUGACAAACCGGAGGAAGGUGGGGAUGACGUCAAAUCAUCAUGCCCCUUAUGACCUGGGCUACACACGUGCUACAAUGGACAGAACAAAGGGCUGCGAGACCGCAAGGUUUAGCCAAUCCCACAAAUCUGUUCUCAGUUCGGAUCGCAGUCUGCAACUCGACUGCGUGAAGCUGGAAGAGAGUGUGAUCAUGGCUCAGCAUGCCGCGGUGAAUACGUUCCCGGGCCUUGUACACACCGCCCGUCACACCACGAGAGUUUGCAACACCCGAAGUCGGUGAGGUAACCUUAUGGAGCCAGCUAGCAGGAUUGUGACUUUUAUUAA